AUGAACAAGCUCAAGUUUAACUUCUGUUGCUGGAAUAAGCGUGGCCUGGGUCAGUCACAAAAAUGCUCUGAUGUGCUUUCGGAGCUCAUCUCCAUCCACCCCCAUGCUUGCUUCCUGCAAGAAACCAAACUAGGUACCCUUGACGCCUUCAAACAAAAAACGUUUCUUCCACAUCACCUAAACCUGCUACAUACUUCACCUGCCAUUGGCUCGGCAGGUGGUAUGCUCUCAGCCUUCUCCUCCUCCCACUUCACUGUUAUUUCCACCAAAUCAGGCGCCUACUCUCAAACGACCUUAAUUUCCUGCCUAGCCUCCCCCAGCAUCGCUAUAACAAACAUCUACGCCCCUACUGACCAUGGCCUUAAACACCUCUUCCUCCAGGAACUGGCUAGCUUCGCUCCCUCACUGCCUACGCCUUGGCUUAUCCUAGGUGAUUUCAACCUCCUUCGCCAUACGUCCAAAAACACUCCUCAUUUUCGCCAAGCCGAAGCUGAUAUGUUCAACGCCUUCAUUUACGCCCAUGCUCUCAUUGAGCUGCCCCUACUUGAUUGCCGUUUCACGUGGUCAAGUAAGAGAGAUCAGCCCACUCUGGAAAAACUUGAUAGAGUUUUCGUUAAUGUUGACUGGGACCUUCUCUUCCCCAACACUAAUAUCUCCUCUCUCACUCGUUUCAUCUCUGAUCAC
This 684-nucleotide ribosomal RNA is filed under the name Triticum aestivum (bread wheat). Its description in RNAcentral is "partial small subunit ribosomal RNA". The record is from RNAcentral. Lineage: Eukaryota; Viridiplantae; Streptophyta; Magnoliopsida; Poales; Poaceae.